GAUGAACGCUGGCGGCGUGCCUAAUACAUGCAAGUCGAGCGAACAGACGAGGAGCUUGCUCCUCUGACGUUAGCGGCGGACGGGUGAGGAACACGUGUAUAACCUACCUAUAAGACUGGGAUAACUUCGGGAAACCGGCGCUAAUACCGGAUAAUAUAUUGAACCGCAUGGGUCAAUAGUGAAAGACGGUUUUGCUGGCACUUAUAGGUGGAUCCGCGCCGCAUUAGCUAGUUGGUAAGGUAAAGGCUUACCAAGGCAACGAUGCGUAGCCGACCUGAAGGGGUGAUCGGCUACACUGGAACUGAGACACGUCCCCGACUCCUACGGUAGGCCACAGUAGGGACUCCUACGCGAGGGGGGAGUGCUUGACGGAGCAACGCCGCGUGAGUGAUGAAGGUGUUCGGCUGGUAAAACGCUGUUAUCAGGAGAGAACUAAUGUGUAAGCAACUGUGCAGGUAUUGACGGUACCUGCUCAGAAAGCCCCGGCUAACUCCGUG
RNAcentral lists this ribosomal RNA (497 nucleotides) under uncultured bacterium. RNAcentral's name for it is "partial 16S ribosomal RNA". It matches the Rfam family "Bacterial small subunit ribosomal RNA", at positions 28 to 507 of the family's 1533-position model. The record is from RNAcentral.